Molecule: long non-coding RNA, 10313 nt
Organism: Ictalurus punctatus (channel catfish)
Lineage: Eukaryota; Metazoa; Chordata; Actinopteri; Siluriformes; Ictaluridae
Source: Ensembl
CUGAUACUGUCUGAGCUUAGGUUCAUCAGGCUUUUACCACUGGGCUUUGUGGUAUCCAUGGAACCGAGUUCCGACGCCACGACGCUGCCAGAAUUAUUAUGUUUCACGCGGAGGCGCUUGCAUGGGCUAGCUUAUGUUUCAGUGGCUUUUACACACAUGGCCAAGGACACUUUUGAACAGUUUAAGACAAAGAUACAUGAAUAUAGUCACAAAACACACACACACACGCAUAAGGAUAUAAACACUUAUUUGUGGAGCUCAGGAUAUAAUGGAAAAUCCUUGAAAAGAAGUGCAGGUCACAUCCUGAGAGGAUCCAGGAGAUUUACAGCUUAUGUUGCUUUGCUGGGCUCCAUGGAGAAGUGGAGGGUUAGCCAAAGACUAAUUGAAUUGAUAAAAUCAAAGACUGCAUGAGCAAAAUCUCUAAACUGGAGAGUCUGAGAGAAAGAGAGUAGAGAGAGAAAGAGUAAUGGAAAGAUUCAUCCAAGUGCCUACAUUAAAUAACAUGAGGACAAGAUAAAACUAUGAAACUAACACUGAACACCAAGUAGGUUCUAGUGAAAUUAAGAUGAUUUGUAUUGAUUCAGAAAGUUAUCACGUGUUCAUGAAUGCCGAUAGCAACAGUGCACCCUGUCUCUGAGUGGACAUACGUUUGCUAACAAACACACAGGACUACAAAGAGACACCUGUUUUAGCCGGCAUGGGAUGCCAACUCUCUCUUCCUAUUUUUACAUUAGUGGGCUAUGACAGAUUAUCAGAUUCCCAAGAGCAACUGCCCCUUAUCCAGCACCCCUUCCCUUCCAUGCUAGACCUAUUGACACCACUGACAUACACACACACACUCACACAUAUGGUCAUUUCACAAAUGCUAUUAAUGUAACGUGGUCUCAUCAGCCCAGGGUGUCCUUUCUCAGUUUAUAAUAAUCUUGUUUAUUAUUAGACUGAAUGUCUGAUGAGGUCAGCACAGGCCUGUUGCAAUAUUCUUUCCUUCAUUCCUGACAUCUCUCUACCUUUUGUCUGUUCUCAAUCUCUUAUUUCUUACCCUAUCCCUUAUGGGGGUCUGGGAAAACCCAGAAAAAGGAAAGAAAAAAAAAAAGGUUGGCUUUGGCCAAAUGUAGUUUUUUUUUCUGUCCUCUAAAGUACUUUGAUACUUCAAAUUUAAGAUGUCACAAAUCUAUUUCAGCAAAAUGAUGUUCAUAUUUUUUUAAAUUUAAUUUAUAAUCAUGCUUUGGCUAUUUGCUGCAAAGAUCAUAUUGGGAAAAUGAGCCAGUUUAACAAAAAACAGUCAGACUGCCUAAAGAUGUCUAAAACCUUGCUAGAGUUUUGUCAACCAGUAAAUGUAACACUUUGAUCAAUUUGGUUAACAUCUAUGGGGCAUAGUGAAAUUGGACAUAAGCUAUAACUGCAACUAAACUUUUGCAGUAACUGUUCAUCAGUCCUGCACAUCGGCUUGGAGGAAUUUGAAUCUGUUCCUCAGUACAGAACAGCUUCAACUCUGGGAUGUUGGUGGGUUUACUCACAUGAACUGCUUGCUUCAGGACUUUAAACAACAUUUCUAUUGGAUUGAGGUCAGGACUAUGACUUGGCCAUUCCAAAACAUUGCCUUUAUUCUUCUUUAACCAUUAUUUGGUAGAACAAUUUGCAUGCUUAGGUUUGUUGUCUUGCUGCAUGCCCCAAUUUCUCUUGAGAUUCAGUUCAUGGACAGAUAUCCUGACAUUUUCCUUCUAGAAUUUGCUGGUAUAAUUUAGAAUUCAUUGUUCCAUCAAUGAUGGCAAGUCGUCUUGGGCCAGAUGCAGCAAAACAGGCCCAAACCAUGAUGCUACCACCACCAUGUUUCACAGAUGGGCUAAGGUUCUUAUGCUAGAAUGUAGUGUUUUCCUUUCUCCAAACAUAUCACUUCUCAUUUAAAACAAAAAUUCUAUUUUGGGCUCAUCCAUCAUCAUUUUUCUGAAGAACAGGACAAACAAGAAACUCAUGAACAACCAUCACAAAACAUAAAAACAUGUACUUGAUCAUCCUGGUGACAACACACAAUAUUAAGAAUCAAGUGUAUGUAAACUCUAUGUGAACUGUUUCACUUGUGUAAAUUCAGUAGUUAUUGUGUCUUGUGGACUAUAUGUAAAGAUCUGUUAUGUGAAAUAGCUUAUUCAGGGCAGUACAAAAUAAAUAAAAUAAACCAAAUUUUUAUGAUCUCUCUUUUUUAUUAUUAACAUUUUGCAGAUUUUGCAAAGCCAAUGUAAAACACACACACACACACACACACACACACACACACACACACACACACACACACACACACACACAAACUACUGUGCAAAAGUCUUAGGCACCUUAUUUUUUUUUAGUACAAACUUUGUUAUAGAUUUUUAUAUAGACUUCUACAAAAACAUGUUAGAUUCCCAAACAUUAGUUUUCCAGCGCAAAAUUAAAUGUUACAGAAAAAUGUGUCAGUAAAAAAAGCAGCAUAUUAAGUGGUAAGAGACGCUUCUCAGACAAAAAAAAACACAACGAAGGCUACUGGAUUUUGCUGCAAAAAUAAGAAGCAAGUGCCACAGUCAAAGUCUCCAGAAGAACUGUGGCUGGUUCUGCAAGAUGCUCAGUAAAACUUAACAGCUAAUUUCCUAAUAAAACUGCACUAAUUCUACCUGAGAUUACUUUAUUUAUUUAUUUUUAAAGCAAAGGAUCAUCACACCAAAUAUUGACUUUGUUUCAUUUAUUAGUUUUUACUGCCCUUUAUAGUAUUUUUUAAAAUGGAGAAACAUUUAUAUAUUUAUAAAUUCACAUUUAAGACACAAAAACAUUUAUUUAUUGAAUGCCCUAACAAGUGCCCUUAGACAUAUAUUAUAAAUUUGUUUUAUGGAAGAUUUUUUCCAUUCUUUUCUCAGUUGAGAGAAAUGUCAAAAUUAGUGUCCGUUACUGAUGUGGUAGAAAUUCCUUUAGGAUCUAAAUUAGUGUGUGCUCUGGUGGCACACACUAAUUCUUUGAACUCAGCCUUACACACUAAUGCCUGUGGCACAAAGGCUGUACUUAGCCAGCCACAGCUCACUCACUGCUGUUUAGCUCUAUCAGCUGUUCAGUUCUAAAAAGCAUUUCUUUAAACUAACAGCAGUGUUCUGUCUUAUGGAGCUGAUCACCCAAUUGGGAUCAUUUGCCAAGACUGCCAAAAUUUUCUCUGAAAGAGUUUGUGUGCAAGCUCAUUAGUUAUUAGCUGCCAGACAGUGAUUUAACUUCCUGUUUGGAGAAACUUAAGGGACUCAUUAAAGUCACUGGAAAUAAUUGCGCCAUUUCAGAAAACAUCCCUUUCCACAUUGCAGGUACUUCUUACUUCUACUUGUGCUACAGGGCACAUGGAACUCUGAGUAAGCAUUGGCUAAAACUUUCUCAACUAACCAGAGUGAGACACAGCAACGCUAUCUAAUCAGCCUGGAGCUAAACAGAGCAGCAGCAGACACCUGAGCUGAGCUUUGCUCAAGGCUGAUAAAUGAUAAAUGCUUGUGCUAUGAGCACAUUGUAUCUUUGCUCGAACUUUAAUCGGUGAGUUGACAUGUUCCUGUACUUUGAAUUAACUAUUCUUAGAUGCACUGGAAUAAAUACUGUAAGGCAUGAGGUUUUCAUGCCAAAUCGAUAGACAUGUCUGUUUAGUGUGCUCUGUUACAGCAUGCAUCCUGUGGAACAUUUGGUAAAGUAGCUCCAUCUGGGAUGAACUUAAUAACCUCUGCCAUUCGCCCCUUCUCUCCCUCUGUCUCCCUUAUACUUUCUGAAUUUUCCUCCUGUUUUUUCACUGUCUCAGUGGUUUUCCAUCAGCCCAUACUAUCAAGCUCUUCGCAUUUCCUGUCUGACCCCAGAACAAUUAAACCCAGCUACUUUCUCUCUAAUUGUUCAUAAGAGGUAUUGGAUGUAGACCUGAAGAAAAAAGCUUUGUCACUGUCAAAAGUUAUAGUAUUACAGCAUAAACAAUGUUGGGGCCCCAUUUUCCCCUCAGAACAAACCACAUCCAAACAGGAAGGUUCAAAAGAGCGACCAGAAAUUUUUAAUAACAAGGACAGAAUGACAGAAUGUGAAAGAGAAAGAAACAGAAGGAGGAAAGUUUUCUUUGUACAUUUAAUUAUCUGUGUCCAUUAAAUUUUAUGCCGAAUUUACAGCAUACGAUCAGCCCAAUUUUGCCGUCACAGACAUCAUAAAACAAUUCUUUGGUCAUGAGUUAAAAUCGGAGGUCUUAGAAUACAUAUGAUGCUCUCAUCAGUGACCGAUUUGGUGCCACUGUGACCAAAGACAGCCGACGACAAGGUUCUGGCAGCAAACUUUAUUAUCUCAAGCACACUUGGAAGAAUAUUUCUGUUUAUGUGACCCCGUUUUAAGCACAAGCCCAGAACCCACUGAUUGUUAAUGUACAACCCCAAUAAAUAAAAACAGAAUGCAAUGAUUUGCAAAUGUCAUAAACCCAUAUGUUAUUCACAGUAGAACAUAGAAAACAUAUCAAAUGUUUCAACUGAGUAAAUGUACCAUUUUAAGGUAAUUUUGAAUUUGAUGGCCGCAGCACGUCUCAAAAGUUGGGACAGGGGCAACAAAAGGCUGGAAAAGUAAAUGUUAUUAAAAAGGAACAGCUGGAGGUUAAUUGGCCUUAUUUUUUUUUUCUUAAAGCUGUUUUUUUUUUUUUACCUUAUUUUUUUCUUAAAAUGGUACGUUUCCUCAGUUUAAACAUUUGAAAUGUUUUCUGUGUUCUAUUGUGAAUAACAUUAUCAUGGGUUCAUGAGAUUUGCAAAAUCAUUGCCUUCUGUUUUCAUUUACAUUUUGCACAGCAUCCCAACUUUUUUGGAAUUGGGGUUGUAAGCAGAAUGUAGUCAUUGUUUUAAUGGCAGGUCUAUCGUUAGGUUAUCUUUAUCAUAUAAUCUUAAUAAUCAUAAUAAUUCAACAUGGAAUAAUGCAAAAAAUAAAAUCCAUACAUACUGCAUAUUGACAUGCUUUGUUGGGGUCAGAAGAGAAUUCCCAGACUGGUUCGAGCUCACAUGAAAGCUACAGUAACUCAGAUAACAGUUGUGAGCAGAAAAGCAUCUCAACACAUGUCAAGUCUUGAGGCAGACGGGCAGCAGAAGACCACAUUGAGUUCAGUGGAGAACAGAAAUCUAAGGCUAUAGUGGCCACACGUUCACUGAAACUGCACAGAAUAAGAUUGGCAAAAGACCAUGUAAUGUUCUUCCAAUGUACAACUGUCUAAUUUUGGUGAACCUGUGUGCAAUAAACAAAAUGAUCUGCCAAAGGAACACACCAAUUUAAAAUCAGUAAAGUGUCUAAUAGGCUCUAUAAUAUUAGAUUUAUUUCACUGUUAUCUUAAUAAUUGGAAAUAUUAGAUCAAUUCAUCUAUAUUCGAGAUAUUAUCCGUGCUAAGAUUAGUUGUUGCAUUAUUCCAUUUUUUUUUUAUUAGAUCCCAAACCUCUACUAAACCUAGUGACUUUUAUCAUUACAUAGGUUUAAUUUGUGAAGAAUGUGUUGUGACUGACAGCAGGGUAAGCAGAGGACUAUUACAGGCAGAGUUCCCUUCUCUUACCUGCUCACAGCAGGAAUGGAAAUCAAGUGGUAGAAUGCUGUUUUGGAUUAAACACUAGAAAGCAAACUUGUAGUAACACACACUUCCCAUAGUUUAAAGCACAUAAAAAGCAAUUAAUGUCUGCUCUGGGAAAUUAAGUGGGGAAUUAAAACAUAAAUAGAAAAUGACACGCUGGAAAUUACACUAGUUCUCCAUAAAUGACUGUCUAAUUCAAAAGACUGACCUAUGUCUGUGUGUGUGUGCUAUAUGCAAAUAUAAUUUUAAUAGUUGAAGAAAGACAACAUUCAUUGUGUGUGUGUCCCACUGGAAAAAUAGCCAGGGGGCAGAAACAACUCUGUCAAUAGUAUAAAAUCCUUUGCUUCUGGAUGUAACAACUUUAAUUAAAUUCAUCCAGGUUGUGUGUGGCCGUAAUCCUUAUCUCUCAAACUGUUUAAAAUUUGAAAUAAUGAGGUUGGUUUUAGGGCACGGCUCUAAAAUAAUAGGUCUGUACCUCUUUGUAAUGGUGGUUUGCCACAAAACACCACAAAGAACCCAAGGGGAAGUCAAGGUUACAUUCUUUCCUCAGCAACCUGGUAUUACAGUACAGUAAGUUUGGAAUACCAAAAUCCUGAAAGGACUGUAGGAUUAAAAAACAAAACAAAACAAAACAAAACAACAACAAAAAAAACACAAAAAAAACUUUCAAAAGGAUUUGUUUCUGCUUCCAGUAUCAAUUCCUUUUCUUCAUUUUAUUACUACAACUUUAUUAGCAUAAUGUGAUUUUUACACAGUUUUUUUUUUACAAGACAAAGUGUCUGCCAAACAGUGUACAUAAUACAUAUUAUUACGCAGUAUUCAAAGAUAAGUGUGUGUGCGUUGGGGGGGGUUGUGUUUGGGCUGGGUUAUUAAAGAGGGCUGGCUAUUUUCUGCAAUAUGUCUUGUGCACUGGGGCCAUGCUGUACCAGGGAAGGCUACUGCAGUGUUCAUUCACUGUCUCUGCUUCCUCUGUGUAGUAAUCAGACAGCCAUUAGAGAUGGCAGCAAAAGCCAUCUUUUUUUUUUUCCCCUGUGUCCUUAGAUGAACUAGUAUCCAAUUUGCCCCCCCCCUCUCUCUCUCUCUCUCUCUCCCUCUCUCUCUGAAAUCCAUUUUCGUACAAUCGCCUCUGCUUUCUCUCAUUCUCAAUUCAAUUCAACAACGCUUUAUUGGGAUAAAUGCUGCUAGUUAUAUUCUGGUCAGACCAGUUAAUAUAUCCAUACAGAUGAGAAAAAACACCUGACAUUUUAAUAAUUUUAUUUUAAGCAGGUCUUUGAGGAAUUGCUUCACUGGUUGUCCUAGAUAAGUGGAAAGAGCUCACAAACCAGACAGUAUUGGAGUUUGUUUUGGUUUUUAACAGCAAUUCUGUUAAAUAAUCUCUCUCUCUCUCUCUCUCUCUCUCUCUCUCUCUCUCUCUCUCUCUCUCUCUAUCUAUCUAUCUAUUAUUGCUGAGGCAAAAAUCCAACUGACUGGCUGGUCAGUGAUUUAUAAUAAAAUAAAUUGGUGUUGCUAGUUUGUUAAUAUUUUCAAAUUCAUUUUCACUCUAUUUUGAAUACUGAAUAGUAGAUAGUAUUGUCCUAAUAUAGCCUUUUCAGUGUUUUUCCUCUGCAUUUUGAGGAAAUGUUUACAGAAUUUGGCAUGCAGGGUUUCAACUGGGUGUUUGUUAUAGCUUGGGACAUCAGAUUAAUUCACAUCAAACCAAAACUUGCACAUGUAUGUGUUGCAGUAUGAGAGUUGCUUAAGUAUUUUAUCUGAAAUUUACAAUGAAAAAAAUUGACAUAAACUACUAUACUAUGCUCUCACUCUCUUGAUUUGUUCUCUUCUUGAGAACUCUAUUUCUAUUGUAGUAUAUGUAAUAUGUACUUCACCGCAUUGCCUCAUUCAUGACCCAAAUAAAUAUUAGCGAGAAUUUGUUCACAUACAGUACACCUUCAGACCAUCUCUGUCCACGCCUGAAUCGCUGCUGUUCUCUGCCACUUUCAUCCCUCUUUUACUUUCUCUCUUCUGCCUCUUAUUUUCCCUCUCAAGCUGAUGGAAGAGGGUGGGGUCAAUCUGCACCAGUUGCCAUGACACCAGACAGCCCUUGCUUGGUGAAGGCACGUAGUUUCCUCUGUUCUAUUUCCCCAGAGCUUUCUACGGGGGAGAGUAUGUGUCUGUGUGUGACAGCAUUGAGCGAGAAAAAAGACAGAGACAACAAGUGUGUGCUUCACAUGUCAGUUAUGUUAAAUGACAAAUCGUUCAAAUGUGAAGUCUGCAGGUAGUAUGUAAUAAGGUAAUGAGACACCUCUCAUUUAGGAAAGCUCUGUCCUUCUAAGCUAUACCAUGGCAGAAAAAAGUGAUACCAUUUAAUGGUUGCUACUGAAAUACUUCAGAAAAUAUUUUACAUUCUGACCAAUACAUCACUGGUACACACUCGUGAUUGCACUAGAGAAGCAGACUCUUUCUCUCUCUCUCUCUCCCUCUCUCUGCGCUAUCUAUCCCAAAGCAGGAGCACUGAUGAAUAAUUUAGCAGUUGAUAUUUGCAGCCAUCUGUUUCUCUUUUCCUCGCCAUCAGUCUUACUCGCAAUGUUCUUUUACGCUGUGCCGUGUCACCAAACAAGAAGUACUGCAAUAAGAGGGAGGGGGUCUCACACCACUGACCAGGACUGGAUUCAUUACAACACUGAGCGUCUGUGUCUCUGAGGUGCUCAUCAUGGAGAACUCAUUAAUCAUUCAUGAAUCAUUUCACACCUGUAAUUCGCCAUGGGUAUUUAAGGUUUAUUCUUAAUUAGCAUAUAUUUAAUUAAUCUGUGCAUUAUCCGUUUUGAUGAAACACCGUAACACUUUCACUUGUACUUGCAUCACUAUGAACUUUGUUGUUUCCCUUCUCAAAUGCUAUCUGUAAUAAAUAUAAAUCAACAGAAACAUUUCAGCUGUAAUGAAUGGGUAUGGACUUCCUGCUGUGUCAAAUCUAUUGCAUGGAAAGAGGUGUGAAAUUGGCGUUUCAUAUGACUUGUAUGCAUUAACUAGUUAACUCUUUGCACUAACGGCCAGUGACCAAUAGAGGGAGACGCAGAGCCCACAGCCCGGGCCACAAUCUUGUGCUUUUAUUUAGCGCCAUUUAAUGAAAACACUUAAGACUGGCCUGUUAUUUGAGUACACCAGAUACUAUUUGAAAAUAAUAUUUCAUGUCAUAAUUUUGCUGAGGAAGCCAUAAUUAUACUAUAGAGAGGACCAGAACAAACAAAUAAACUGGAGUGGAGUUCGUUGGAGAGACUCCUAAAUGAUCUAAAUGAUGACCGUAAAGGACUCCAGCCUUUGGUCAAACAGUGUCUCCUUUCUCCCAAAAUUACAGCUUGUGCAGAUCAAGCUCUUGGUGGACAGCCAGCACAAGCGGAGUCUUUGUUCAGGUGAAAUUCCUCAGUACUAUCUGCACCCCCACCAAAGUCUGUGGCUGCCUUUGGUUUAAUUAGGUCUCCUGGAGCGGGCAUCAAACCACCUCCCACUCCCACCACCCCUCCAACCCAACCCUGAAUUAUUCCCACACAGAAGCAACUGGAACAGCAAGACAAUAAGAGCUCCAGUAAAAGCAAAGGUGUAUCCACAGCAUCUCCCUCUAGCAGUGUGCUGUGUUCAGGAAUGCAACACUACCACUGAAAUAUGCAUCCAGACUAUGCAGUCGCACUGCUGAUUGCAAAUGCAGGUUUCUGAAAAUAAAACAAGAGAUGAUGGCUGGUGGAAAACUGGGCCAGCACCGAGUUCAGGUGCAUGUGUGUGUGAGGUUAAAGACCAAGUCGUGUUAUCCCCAAUGACACUAACAGCAGCUCCUGUCCUCCAGAAAGAGUAGGUUUGAUAGACUAUGGCGUGGGGUUUAUAAGUGUGAUUCUUCUAUGUACGCUAAAAAUGGCAGAGCUCAAACCGGCACGGGAGGGAGGAGGUCAAACGUUCAUUUUACACUGCCUUUACACAAACUGACAGAUGCUGUCUGCUUUGAUCUAUCUUUAGCCUAUCCACACCUAUCUGUGGGCCACUGUCCGGAAAGCUACUUAGAGAUUCUGCCUGUUCUAGACCCCUAAGAGUGCCCAUACAGAAUGCAAUCGCCCAGAAAGACUGGGGGAAGGGUGGACUACAUUCAGCACAACUGACUAAUUGCACGGCACUGUGGGAAACACAGAUGUAAUGCAUUUGUAGUAUUCCUGUUAAAGCCUAUGUAACAGUGUCAGCAGAGGAAGAGACUGACGCUGAAUGAGUAAGAGAGUAGACACUGAGAAUGAGAGAGAGAGCGAGAGAGAGAGAGAGAGACACACACACACACACACACAAACACACACAGAAGGGACAGACAGACAUAGCCUGAGAGGAGCACAAUGGCGGCGGUGGUAGCAGCAGGAGCAAGAAGAAAUGUGCCAGAGCAGAGCGGGAUGUGCGCUCUCUCGUCCCGAGCACACCGCGGCCAAGCUGAACUGAGUGAACUACAUCCGAGUGCUUGCCAUGAGCAGCAGAGAUGAAGACAUUGGAUUCUACAGUCCCUGUAAUCGAAAUAAACACUACAGUUUCCUGCCGUGCUCCCGCUUGGUCAGGUCCGGACUCGCUGUACUGUCAGAGAGAAGCAGGUUGGUGCAGAGGCAGCUGCUGGGGGUUUUUGGUUGUUGUCUCUACUGUGCUUUAUGAAUCCCUCCUGCUUCUGUACACAGUUGCAGCACAAUGACUUUCUAACUCCCCCCACCCUUCAUCCCCAUCAGCACCUGCAAGUGGAAAAGUAAGUAUAAGAAGUGGCAAC